This 259-nucleotide ribosomal RNA is filed under the name uncultured bacterium. RNAcentral's name for it is "partial 16S ribosomal RNA". It matches the Rfam family "Bacterial small subunit ribosomal RNA", at positions 793 to 1055 of the family's 1533-position model. The record is from RNAcentral.
GUCCACGCCCUAACGAUGUCGACUGGGUGUUGGGAAGCGAUUUCCCAGUACCGUAGCUAACGCGUGAAGUCGACCGCCUGGGAGUACGGCCGCAAGGUUAAACUCAAAGGAAUUGACGGGACCCGCACAAGCGGUGGAUGAUGUGGAUUAAUUCGAUGCAACGCGAACAACCUUACCUACCCUUGACAUGUCCGAGAGCCUGCUGAGAGGCGGGUGUGCCCGAAAGGGAAUCGGAACACAGGUGCUGCAUGGCUGUCGU